RNAcentral lists this ribosomal RNA (253 nucleotides) under uncultured bacterium. RNAcentral describes it as "partial 16S ribosomal RNA". It matches the Rfam family "Bacterial small subunit ribosomal RNA", at positions 524 to 776 of the family's 1533-position model. The record is from RNAcentral.
UACGUAGGUGGCAAGCGUUGUCCGGAAUUACUGGGUGUAAAGCGCGUGUAGGCGGCAGACCAAGUCGGCGGUGAAAGCGCCCGGCUCAACUGGGCGAGGUCCGUGGAAACUGGUCAGCUGGAGGACGGUAGAGGCGAGUGGAAUUCCCGGUGUAGUGGUGAAAUGCGUAGAGAUCGGGAGGAACACCUGUGGUGAAGGCGGCUCGCUGGGCCGGUCCUGACGCUGAGACGCGAAAGCGUGGGGAGCGAACAGG